AUUGAACGCUAGCGGGAUGCUUUACACAUGCAAGUCGAACGAGUGGCGGACGGGUGAGUAAUAUAUCGGAAAGUGCCCAGUAGCGGGGGAUAACUACUCGAAAGAGUGGCUAAUACCGCAUACUAUCGGAUCAGCCCAUAUGGGAUUAGCUAGUUGGUGGGGUAAAGGCUCACCAAGGCAACGAUCCGUAGCUGGUUUGAGAGGACGACCAGCCACACUGGGACUGAGACACGGCCCAGACUCCUACGGGAGGCAGCAGUGGGGAAUUUUGGACAAUGGGGGAAACCCUGAUCCAGCCAUCCCGCGUGUAUGAGAAGGCCUUCGGGUUGUAAAGUACUUUUGGCAGGGAAGCGUUAUCUGCAGAAUAAGCACCGGCUAACUACGUGCCAGCCGCCGCGGUAAUAC
Molecule: ribosomal RNA, 405 nt
Filed under: uncultured bacterium
Lineage: Bacteria
Description: partial 16S ribosomal RNA
Rfam family: Bacterial small subunit ribosomal RNA
Source: RNAcentral